This 253-nucleotide ribosomal RNA is filed under the name uncultured bacterium. Its description in RNAcentral is "partial 16S ribosomal RNA". It matches the Rfam family "Bacterial small subunit ribosomal RNA", at positions 524 to 776 of the family's 1533-position model. The record is from RNAcentral.
UACGAAGGGUGCAAGCGUUACUCGGAAUUACUGGGCGUAAAGCGUGCGUAGGUGGUGGUUUAAGUCCGUUGUGAAAGCCCUGGGCUCAACCUGGGAAUUGCAGUGGAUACUGGAUCACUAGAGUGUGGUAGAGGGAUGCGGAAUUUCCGGUGUAGCAGUGAAAUGCGUAGAGAUCGGAAGGAACAUCUGUGGCGAAGGCGGCAUCCUGGGCCAACACUGACACUGAGGCACGAAAGCGUGGGGAGCAAACAGG